GUUUGAAGCAUUGAGUCUGAAGCAUUGUGGACUUCUUUAAGACCUUUCAUAUCCAAACAAGGUUUUGGCAAUAUUAAGCUGGAAUGACCUCUAACAUUAUGGAUAAUCUAGAUGGAGACUUACAACGAACUGUAAUAUUCGUUCCCUUUACUUAUCGUCUUAUAAAAUUUCAUUUUGUGUACAUAUCAGCUACUUAUUUGUUUUUAUAUGUAUAGGUUUAGUUUCUUCAACAAAGAAAUGUCGAUGUAGUGAUUCGUGAUGAGCAUGAUUUCAAUGUCGUUCGUAUUUCUAA
Camellia sinensis is the source of this 292-nucleotide non-coding RNA. NCBI's taxonomy places the organism in Eukaryota, Viridiplantae, Streptophyta, Magnoliopsida, Ericales, Theaceae. The record is from RefSeq and is a predicted model, not a curated record.